GACGAACGCUGGCGGCGUGCUUAACACAUGCAAGUCGAACGGAAAGGCCCUGCUUUUGUGGGGUGCUCGAGUGGCGAACGGGUGAGUAACACGUGAGUAACCUGCCCUUGACUUUGGGAUAACUUCAGGAAACUGGGGCUAAUACCGGAUAGGAGCUCCUGCUGCAUGGUGGGGGUUGGAAAGUUUCGGCGGUUGGGGAUGGACUCGCGGCUUAUCAGCUUGUUGGUGGGGUAGUGGCUUACCAAGGCUUUGACGGGUAGCCGGCCUGAGAGGGUGACCGGCUAAGUUGGGACGGAGAUACGGCACAGACUACUCCGGGAGGCAGCAGAGGGGAAUAGUGCACAAGGGGCGGAGGCCUGAUGCAGCAACGCAGCGUGCGGGAUGACGGCCUGCGGGUUGUAAACCGAUUUCGCCUGUGACGAAGCGUGAGUGACGGUAAUGGGUAAAGAAGCACCGGCUAACUACGUG
Molecule: ribosomal RNA, 468 nt
Filed under: uncultured bacterium
Lineage: Bacteria
Description: partial 16S ribosomal RNA
Rfam family: Bacterial small subunit ribosomal RNA
Source: RNAcentral